CCGAGUUUACAACUCCCAAACCCCUGUGAACAUACCUAUACGUUGCCUCGGCGGAUCAGCCCGCGCCCCGUAAAAAGGGACGGCCCGCCCGAGGACUCCUAAACUCUGUUUUUAGUGGAACUUCUGAGUAAAACAAACAAAUAAAUCA
This 148-nucleotide unclassified non-coding RNA is filed under the name soil metagenome. RNAcentral's name for it is "partial internal transcribed spacer 1". The record is from RNAcentral.